This 376-nucleotide ribosomal RNA is filed under the name uncultured Glomeromycotina. RNAcentral describes it as "eukaryotic LSU rRNA". Lineage: Eukaryota; Fungi; Glomeromycota. The record is from RNAcentral.
GAAAGGGAAACGAUUGAAGUCAGUCGUACCUUAGGGUAAUCAGCCUUUCGAGUGCGAUUCUGUGGAGCGUGAGGAGUUAAACGCCUUCAUGCCUGCAUAUUCGUGCACUUUGGGUGUACUUGCCCGUGUGGUAGGUUAACAUCAAUUUCGGAUGUCAUAAAAUGGCUGGAGGAAUGUAGCUUCGGUCUCGUACUGAAGUGUUAUAGCCUUUGGCAGAUGUGAUGACCGGGAUUGAGGAUUGCAACGAAUACCUUUUGGGCUACCCGCCUGAUCUCUGAAAGUUGCUCUGGUGCCGAAAGCUUGCUUACGGUUAUCAAAGUUGACGUUCAAAAGGUUAGAACGGGUUAAAUUCGUUAAGGAUGUUGACGUAAAGGGC